AACGAACGCUGGCGGCAUGCCUAACACAUGCAAGUCGAACGAGACCUUCGGGGCUAGUGGCGCACGGGUGCGUAACGCGUGGGAACCUGCCCUUAGGUUCGGAAUAACUCCCCGAAGGGGGUGCUAAUACCGGAUAAUGUCUUCGGACCAAAGAUUUAUCGCCUUUGGAUGGGCCCGCGUUGGAUUAGCUAGUUGGUAGGGUAAAAGCCUACCAAGGCGACGAUCCAUAGCUGGUCUGAGAGGAUGAUCAGCCACACUGGGACUGAGACACGGCCCAGACUCCUACGGGAGGCAGCAGUGGGGAAUAUUGGACAAUGGGCGAAAGCCUGAUCCAGCAAUGCCGCGUGAGUGAUGAAGGCCUUAGGGUUGUAAAGCUCUUUUACCCGGGAUGAUAAUGACAGUACCGGGAGAAUAAGCCCCGGCUAACUCCGUG
RNAcentral lists this ribosomal RNA (433 nucleotides) under uncultured bacterium. Its description in RNAcentral is "partial 16S ribosomal RNA". It matches the Rfam family "Bacterial small subunit ribosomal RNA", at positions 29 to 507 of the family's 1533-position model. The record is from RNAcentral.